This 319-nucleotide ribosomal RNA is filed under the name Paromoionchis tumidus. Its description in RNAcentral is "partial 12S ribosomal RNA". Lineage: Eukaryota; Metazoa; Mollusca; Gastropoda; Systellommatophora; Onchidiidae. The record is from RNAcentral.
CUUAGCACUAAAAUCGUCGGAUUAAAACUUAAAGAGCAUGGCGGCCACAAAAAUGUUUAGGGGAACUUACCAAGUAAUAGACAACCCACACGUUAUUCCUCUUAUUUUUACAGUUUGUAUACCGCCGUCUAAGUAUUACUUAUGGUAGUGCUAAAAUUUGAUUAGGAAAAUAGGACAGGUCAUGGUGCAGCCAAUAAAUAAGUUUUAGGCGAGUUACAAUAAAAAAUUUUUUUUUAAAAAAUUUUUAUAAGAUUUUAAGAAGUGGACUUAAAAGUAAUACUAAAAAGAAAUAUAGUCUGAAUUAAAAAUUUUGUGGUGU